GACGAACGCUGGCGGCGUGCCUAAUACAUGCAAGUUGAGCGCUGAAGGUUGGUACUUGUACCAACUGGAUGAGCAGCGAACGGGUGAGUAACGCGUGGGGAAUCUGCCUUUGAGCGGGGGACAACAUUUGGAAACGAAUGCUAAUACCGCAUAAAAACUAUAAACACAAGUUUUAAGUUUGAAAGAUGCAAUUGCAUCACUCAAAGAUGAUCCCGCGUUGUAUUAGCUAGUUGGUGAGGUAAAGGCUCACCAAGGCGAUGAUACAUAGCCGACCUGAGAGGGUGAUCGGCCACAUUGGGACUGAGACACGGCCCAAACUCCUACGGGAGGCAGCAGUAGGGAAUCUUCGGCAAUGGACGAAAGUCUGACCGAGCAACGCCGCGUGAGUGAAGAAGGUUUUCGGAUCGUAAAACUCUGUUGGUAGAGAAGAACGUUGGUGAGAGUGGAAAGCUCAUCAAGUGACGGUAACUACCCAGAAAGGGACGGCUAACUACGUG
Molecule: ribosomal RNA, 497 nt
Filed under: uncultured bacterium
Lineage: Bacteria
Description: partial 16S ribosomal RNA
Rfam family: Bacterial small subunit ribosomal RNA
Source: RNAcentral